RNAcentral lists this ribosomal RNA (383 nucleotides) under uncultured eukaryote. RNAcentral describes it as "partial 18S ribosomal RNA". It matches the Rfam family "Eukaryotic small subunit ribosomal RNA", at positions 592 to 976 of the family's 1831-position model. The record is from RNAcentral.
CAAUAGCGUAUAUUAAAGUUGUUGCAGUUAAAAAGCUCGUAGUUGGAUUUCUGGUGGGAGCGAUCGGUCUGGCGCUUAGCGCGAGUACUUGCAUCGUCUCCGGCCAUCCUUGGGGAGAGUCUGUCUGGCAUUAAGUUGUCGGGCAGAGGAUCCUCAUCGUUUACUGUGAAAAAAUUAGAGUGUUCAAAGCAGGCUUAUGCCGUUGAAUAUAUUAGCAUGGAAUAAUAAGAUAGGACUUUGGUACUAUUUUGUUGGUUUGCGCACCAAAGUAAUGAUUAAUAGGGACAGUUGGGGGUAUUCGUAUUCCGUUGUCAGAGGUGAAAUUCUUGGAUUUACGGAAGACGAACUACUGCGAAAGCAUUUACCAAGGUUGUUUUCAUUAA